RNAcentral lists this ribosomal RNA (292 nucleotides) under uncultured bacterium. Its description in RNAcentral is "partial 16S ribosomal RNA". It matches the Rfam family "Bacterial small subunit ribosomal RNA", at positions 356 to 640 of the family's 1533-position model. The record is from RNAcentral.
AGGGAAUCUUCCACAAUGGACGCAAGUCUGAUGGAGCAACGCCGCGUGAGUGAAGAAGGUUUUCGGACCGUAAAGCUCUGUUGUUGGUGAAGAAGGAUAGAGGUAGUAACUGGCCUUUAUUUGACGGUAAUCAACCAGAAAGUCACGGCUAACUACGUGCCAGCAGCCGCGGUAAUACGUAGGUGGCAAGCGUUGUCCGGAUUUAUUGGGCGUAAAGCGAGCGCAGGCGGAAGAAUAAGUCUGAUGUGAAAGCCCUCGGCUUAACCGAGGAAUUGCAUCGGAAACUGUUUUU